This 7351-nucleotide long non-coding RNA is filed under the name Cervus hanglu yarkandensis (Yarkand deer). RNAcentral's name for it is "lncRNA (ENSCHYG00000024572.1)". The record is from RNAcentral. Lineage: Eukaryota; Metazoa; Chordata; Mammalia; Artiodactyla; Cervidae.
AUGCUAAUCCUAAAGCGCUUCCUCGCCUGUAUUCAGCUCCUCUGUGUUUGCCGCCUGGAUUGGGUUUAUGGAUACUACAGACAACAGAGAAAACUUGUUGAAGAGAUUGGCUGGUCCUAUACAGGAGCAUUGAAUCAAAAAAAUUGGGGAAAGAAAUAUCCAACAUGUAAUAGCCCCAAACAGUCUCCUAUCAAUAUUGAUGAAGAUCUUACACAAGUAAAUGUGAAUCUUAAGAAACUUAAAUUUCAGGAUUGGGAUAAAACAUCUUUGGAAAACACAUUCAUUCAUAACACUGGGAAAACAGUGGAAAUUAAUCUCACUAAUGACUACCGUCUCAGUGGAGGGGUUUCAGAAACAGUGUUCAAAGCAAGCAAGAUAGCUUUUCACUGGGGAAAAUGCAAUAUGUCAUCUGAUGGAUCAGAACAUAGUUUAGAAGGGCAAAAAUUUCCACUAGAGAUGCAGAUCUACUGCUUUGAUGCAGACCGAUUUUCAAGUUUUGAAGAAGCAAUUAAAGGAAAAGGGAAGUUAAGAGCUUUAUCCAUUUUAUUUGAGGUUGGAAUAGAAGAAAAUUUGGACUACAAAGCAAUUAUAGAUGGAGUGGAGAGGGUUAGUCGUUUUGGGAAACAGGCUGCGCUGGAUCCAUUCACAUUGCUAAACCUUCUGCCAAACUCAACGGACAAGUAUUACACUUACAAUGGCUCCCUGACAUCGCCUCCCUGCACAGACACCGUUGACUGGAUUAUUUUUAAAGAUACAGUUAGCAUUUCUGAAAGCCAGUUGGCUGUUUUCUGUGAAGUUCUUACAAUGCAACAGUCUGGUUAUGUCAUGUUGAUGGACUACUUACAAAAUAAUUUUCGAGAACAACAGUACAAGUUCUCCAGGCAGGUGUUUUCCUCAUAUACUGGAAAGGAAGAGAUUCAUGAAGCAGUUUGUAGUUCAGAACCAGAAAAUGUUCAAGCUGACCCAGAGAAUUAUACUAGCCUUCUUGUUACAUGGGAGAGACCUCGAGUAGUUUAUGAUACCAUGAUCGAGAAGUUUGCCGUUCUGUACCAGCAGUUGGAGGGAGAAGACCAAACCAAGCAUGAGUUUUUGACAGAUGGCUAUCAAGAUUUGGGUGCUAUUCUUAAUAAUUUACUACCCAAUAUGAGUUAUGUUCUUCAAAUAGUAGCCAUAUGCACUAAUGGCUUAUAUGGAAAAUACAGUGACCAGCUGAUUGUGGACAUGCCUUCUGAUGACCCUGAACUUGACCUCUUUCCCGAAUUAAUUGGAACUGAAGAAAUAAUCAAGGAAGAAGAAGAGGGAAAGGACAUGGAAGGAGACACUGUUGUGAAUCCUGGUAGAGACGGUGCCACAAACCAGAUCAGGAGAAAGGAACCCCAGAUUUCUACCACAACAAAUUACAACCGAGUGGGGACCAAAUACAACGAGGCCAAGACUAACCGCUCCCCAGCAAGAGGAAGCGGGUUCUCUGGAAAGAGUGAUAUUCCCAACACAUCUUUAGAUUCCACCUCCCAGCCAGUCACUGAAUUAGACCCAGAAAAAGACGUUCUUUCGACUUCACGGACUGUGACCCAGCCUCCCCCUCUCACUCUGGCAGGCACUUCAGCCUCUUCAAGUGACGCCUCUAAAACCAUUCUCCGAUUUCCACAGAUGAACUUGUCCGGGACGGUGGAAUAUUCAGAUACAGUGUCCACGACGGAAUCGCAAGAGGUAUCUACUGAUAUCAGUGAGGAAGAGAGUUUAUUGACCAGUUUCAAGCUCGAUCCAGGAGCCGAUGAUUCUUCCGGUUCCAGUCCCGCAACUUCCGCUGUGCCAUUCGUCUCCGAGAACACAUCCCCUGGCGAUGUAUUAUUUCCUUCAGAAAACCCAGAGGCCGUCACAUACGAUGUCUUUAUCCCAGAAUCUGCGAGAAAUGCUUCAGAAGAUUCCGCCUCCUCAGGUUCAGAAGAAUCUCUCAAGGAUCCUUCCGUUGAUGGAAAUAUGUGGUUUCCUAGUACAACAGACGUGACGACGAUGCCCGAUGUCGGGUCAGGUAGAGAGAGCUUUCUCCAGACUAAUUACACCGACGUGGAUAGUGACGAAUCUGAGAAGACAACAGAAUCCUCUCCUCCAGGCCCACUGCCGUCACAGGGCCCCUCGGUCUCAGAUGUGCGAAUGCCACAGUAUUCUACCUUUGCAUACUUCCCCACUGAGGUGACACCUCACGCUUUUACUCCGUCCUCCGGACAACACCAUUCGGUCCCCACCGUCAACGUGGUACACGCGCAGACAACUCAACCAGUGUACAAUGGUGAGGCACCUCUCCAACCUUCCUACAGUAGUGAAGUCUUUCCUCUAGUCACCCCCUUGUUGCUUGACAACCAGACCCUCAACACUACCCCUGCUGCUUCAAGUAGUGAUUGGGCCUUGCAUGCUACACCUGUAUUUCCCAGUGUCGGUGUGUCCUUCGAAUCCAUCCUGUCUUCCUCUGAUGGUGCGCCUUUGCUCCCAUUUUCCUCCGCUUCCUCCAGUAGUGAAUUGCUUCACCGUGUGUAUACGAUCUCUCAGAUCCUUCCGCAAAUUACUGCAGCUCUUGAGAGCGAUCAGGGGUCCCUGCAUGUUUCUCUGCCGGUGGCUGGGGGUGAUUUGCUAUUAGAGCCCAGCCUUGCUCCGUAUUCUGAUGCCAUGUCGCAUCAGAUCACUACGCGUGCUGCUUCGGAGACCUUGGAAUUUGGUGCUAGCAAGCCUGCUGUCCUUUAUCAAACGCUUAUGUUUUCUCCAGCUGAAGCAUCCAGCAGUGAUGUCCUGAUGCAUGCACGUUCUUCAGGGCCUGAACCUUAUGCCUUAACUAAUGAGGAGGGCUCCCAACACCUCUUCAGGGUUUCUGACAGUUCUGCGGUACCUGGGCGUGAUUCUGUUCAGGGUUCUUUAUCUAGCAGCCCUAGUCACCACCUACCGAUGCCCGAGUCUCCCUUAGUAACCCCAAGCGCAUCGUUGCUGCAGCCCACUCAGGGCGUCUCAGGUGAUGGGGAGUGGUCUGGAGCCUCCUCUGAUAGUGAAUUUUUUGUGCCUGACACAGAUGGUCUGACAGCCCUUAAUAUGUCUUCACCCGUUUCUGUAGCUGAGUUUACAUAUCCAACCUCUAUGUCUGGUGACAAUAACAAGCUACUUUCUAAAAGUGACACAAUACACGGAGAGGAGACAGAACGGCACAUUUCUUCUUUCAGUGACCUGGUUUACCCCUCUGAAAGCACAGUCAUGCCUGACCUGUAUGAUCAUGUAAAUACAUUGAAUGCCUCUUUACAAGAAUCCUCUGCUUCCACUUCUAGCCCAGAGGGCAUCCUCCCAGAGCUUCUUGUUUUAACUGCCACUAAGGUUUAUGAUCAUGAGAUUAGUCAAAUUCCAGAAAGUAACUUUCCGGUUCAGUCUUCACACGCUGUAUUUCAAGCAUUUGGUGACACUUCGCUUAAAUCUGCACACUCAGAGCCAGCAUCCUCUGACCCUACUUCUAGUGAAAUGUUAUCUCCUUCAACUCAGCUCUUAGUUUAUGAGCCCUCAGCUUCUUUUAGUACUGAAGUAUUGCUGCAACCUUCCUUUCAGGCUUCUGGUAUUGACUUGUUGCUUAAAACUGAUCUGCCAGCUAUGCCUAGUGACCCAAUAGUGGUUGAAACCCCCAAGGUUGAGCACAUUAGUUCUACAGUAUCACAUCUCGUGGCAUCCAAUGCCGCUUCAAGGGAAAAUACGCUGCACUCUACAUCUGUACCAAUCUCUGAUGUAUCACCUACUCCUAAUACGCACGCUGCUUCACUUCAAGCUUUAACCAUUUCUUAUGCAAGUGAGAAAUAUUCUGAACCAGUUUUGCAUAAAAGCGAAAGUUCCCACCAAACAGUACCUUCAUUGUCCAAUAAUGAUGAGUUGUUCCAAACUGCCAAUUUGGAGCUUAACCAGGUCUUUCCUCCAGAAGGAAGGCAUGCAUUUGCAACUCCUGUUUUAUCAGUUGUACCACCAGAUACGCUUAUAAGUAAGCUUGUUUAUUCUGAUGAAGUCUUCACCUCCACCAAGGGCCCAGUCACCGAUGAGGUAUUGGCUGGUAUUCCUACAGUUGUUUCUGAUCCAGUUGUAACUGCUGAUCCUUCUGUCCCUUUAGGAAAUGUGUAUGUUUCCAUUUCAGCCAUUUCUCCAAACAAGGAUGGUUCUGUAACCACAACCGAGUUGCUGUUUCCUUCUAGAACAACUUCUGAGCCAAUUCAAAGUGCCCGAUCUGAUGCCAGUUUGGUGGGUGGUGGUGACGAUGGUGAUAUUGAUGAUUACGGUGAUGAUUAUUAUGAUGACAGAGAUAAAGAUGGCUUAUCUAUCAAUAGGUGUAUGUCAUGCUUCUCCUAUAGAGAAUCACAGGAAAAGGUAAUGAAUGACUCAGACACCCAGCAGAACAGUUCUGUGGAUCAGAAUAACCCAAUCUCAUAUGCACUAUCUGAGAAUUCUGAAGAAGGAAAUAAAAUCACAGGUGUUAUAUCAGACAAUCAGACUGAUAUGGACAGAAGUCCUGAUAAAUCACCACCAACAAAUGUGCCAGCCCAGAAGCACAAUGAUGGAAAACAGGAAAAUGAUGUUCAGACUAACAAUGCCCUGCUUCCUUUCAGCCCAGAAUCUAAAGCUUGGGCAGUUCUUACAAGUGAUGAAGAGAGUGGAUCAGGGCAAGGUGCCUCAGAUAGCCUUAAUGAUAACGAGACUUCCACAGAUUUCAGUUUUCCUGAUAUUAAUGAAAAAGAUGGUGAUGGGGUACUGGAAACAGGUGACUCAGAAAUAACUCCUGGAUCCCCACAGUCCUCAACACCGACUAUUACUAGCGGGCAUUCAGAAGUGUUCAACAUUUCAGAGGCAGAGGCCAGUAAUAGUAGCCAUGAGUCUCGUAUUGGUCUAGCUGAGGGGCUGGAAUCCGAGAAGAAGGCGGUUAUACCCCUUGUGAUCGUGUCGGCCCUGACUUUUAUCUGUCUAGUGGUUCUUGUGGGUAUUCUCAUCUACUGGAGGAAAUGUUUCCAGACCGCACAUUUUUAUUUAGAGGACAGUACGUCCCCUCGAGUAAUAUCCACACCUCCAACACCUAUCUUUCCAAUUUCAGAUGAUGUUGGAUCAAUUCCAAUAAAGCACUUUCCAAAGCAUGUUGCAGACUUACAUGCAAGUAGUGGGUUUACUGAAGAAUUUGAGGAGGUACAGAGCUGUACUGUUGAUUUAGGUAUCACAGCAGACAGCUCCAAUCACCCCGACAAUAAGCACAAGAACCGAUACAUAAAUAUUGUUGCCUAUGAUCAUAGUAGAGUUAAACUCGCACAACUUGCUGAGAAGGAUGGCAAACUGACUGAUUAUAUCAAUGCCAAUUAUGUUGAUGGCUACAACAGACCAAAAGCUUACAUUGCUGCCCAAGGCCCACUGAAAUCCACCGCCGAAGACUUCUGGAGAAUGAUAUGGGAGCAUAAUGUGGAAGUUAUUGUCAUGAUAACGAACCUUGUGGAGAAAGGAAGGAGAAAGUGUGACCAGUACUGGCCUGUGGAUGGCAGUGAAGAGUAUGGGAACUUUCUGGUCACUCAAAAGAGUAUUCAAGUGCUUGCUUAUUAUACUGUGAGGAAUUUUACUCUAAGAAACACAAAGAUCAAAAAGGGUUCCCAAAAAGGAAGACCCAGUGGGCGCGUGGUUACCCAGUACCACUACACUCAGUGGCCUGACAUGGGGGUGCCCGAGUACUCCCUGCCAGUGCUAACCUUUGUGAGAAAGGCCUCGCAUGCCAAGCGCCACGCAGUAGGGCCUGUUGUUGUCCACUGCAGUGCUGGAGUUGGAAGAACGGGCACGUACAUCGUGCUAGACAGUAUGCUGCAGCAAAUUCAACAUGAAGGAACCGUCAACGUAUUUGGCUUUUUAAAACACAUUCGUUCACAAAGAAAUUACUUGGUGCAAACUGAGGAACAGUAUGUCUUCAUUCAUGAUGCACUGGUCGAGGCCAUACUCAGUAAAGAAACUGAGGUCCCGGACAGCCACAUCCAUGCCUAUGUUAACGGGCUCCUCAUUCCUGGACCAACGGGCAAAACAAAGCUAGAGAAGCAAUUCAAGUAUAGUGCUAAGAGCUUACUUGUUUCUGAUGAAUGUUCUGUGUUCCCAGUGGAAAGAUCCAGGGUUGGCAUUUCAUCCCUGAGUGGAGAAGGUGCAGACUACAUCAAUGCCUCCUACAUCAUGGGUUAUUAUCAGAGCAAUGAAUUCAUCAUCACCCAGCAUCCCCUUCUCCACACCAUCAAGGAUUUCUGGAGGAUGAUAUGGGACCAUAAUGCCCAGCUGGUUGUUAUGCUUCCAGAUGGUCAAAACAUGGCAGAAGAUGAAUUUGUUUACUGGCCAAAUAAAGAUGAGCCUAUAAAUUGUGAGAGUUUUAAGGUCACUCUUAUGGCCGAGGAACACAAAUGUCUGUCUAAUGAGGAGAAACUUAUAAUGCAAGAUUUUAUCCUAGAAGCUACACAGGAUGACUAUGUACUUGAAGUGCGGCACUUUCAGUGCCCCAAAUGGCCAAAUCCAGACAGCCCCAUUAGUAAAACUUUUGAACUUAUAAGUAUUAUCAAAGAAGAAGCCGCCACCAGGGAUGGGCCCAUGAUUGUUCAUGAUGAGCACGGAGGAGUGACAGCUGGAACCUUCUGUGCUCUGACGACCCUGAUGCACCAACUCGAAAAAGAAAAUUCCGUGGAUGUGUACCAGGUAGCCAAGAUGAUCAAUUUGAUGAGGCCGGGAGUCUUUGCCGACAUUGAGCAGUAUCAGUUUCUCUACAAAGCAGUCCUCAGCCUUGUGAGCACAAGGCAGGAAGAGAACCCGUCCACCUCUCUGGACAGUAACGGCGCGGCAUUGGCUGAUGGAAAUAUAGCCGAGAGCUUAGAGUCUUUAGUUUGACGUGGAAAGGGGUGAGAAGAGCCCACAUGUACUGCUUCCCUCUUUCUAAAAUUAGACUGGAAAAUCAGUUCCGUUCUGUUAUCUGUUUACUUCACAUCACCUGACAGUUACUACCAUGACAUAGGAUUCUGCUGCCAAAUUUACAUCAUUAACAAUGUGUGCCUUUUUUGCAAAACUUCUUGUAAUUCACUUAUUGUGUUUAAACUAAAAUGAUUGAAAUUUACAGUAUUUCUAAGAAUGGAAUUGUGGUAUCUUUUUUUCAUAUUGAUUUUAACAGAAAAUUUCAAUUUACAGAUACUAGGAAUUCCCAACUAGAAUUCCCAAACAGAAAACAUGUUUGUUUUUAGUGUCAAAUUUUUAGCUGUAUUUGUAGCAAUCAUCAAGUUUGCUAGAAAUAUAACUUUUAAUAUAGUAUACUGUAAAUAAAACACCCUGUUCCCUACGAUAUUCA